Molecule: small RNA, 29 nt
Filed under: Bombyx mori (domestic silkworm)
Lineage: Eukaryota; Metazoa; Arthropoda; Insecta; Lepidoptera; Bombycidae
Description: ovarian small RNA-34653
Source: RNAcentral
UGGAUCAUAGGCCGCGGCGUCUUCGGCGC